GCCAAAGGGGACCCCCGCUAAAAUGCAUAUACUUAUAUAGCAAAUAUCGGGAUUUUCAUUUUCCGCGGAACUUUCACUUUCCGCGAAAAACCAAGGCCAGCAUAGCCAUAAAAUACUGCAUACAAAUCGAAAUCUAAAAAGCGCGGAACUUUCAUAUAUUUUCCGUCGGAACAAUUAUCUUUCAACCCUGUAGAGAAUGCGGGCUCAAAUAAUCGCGCGGAACCUUAAUAUUAUCUACUCUGUACAAAUAGUAGUGUAUAAAAUCGCGCGGACCUAAUCCACAAAGCGCGGAACACAAAUAUCUUCCGCGAAAAUUAAGCAUUGAAUUACUGUACAAAUCUCGGGUUGCUAUGUAAAUUGCGGGUUGCUAAUGUAAAAUCGCGCGGAAGAUUCAUUACUCCGCGCGAUUUUCAAUAGCAUUGAAUUACUGCACGAAAUUCGGGUUGCUAUGUGGUUACGCGAUAAAAUUUGAUUGGUUCCGACACCUAGAAAGAACCAAUCAAAACUCGCGUCUUAUCCAGCAUUCAUGCAGUCAUCAUGAUGACGGUUGUUUCACAUUAACACAAAACCUUUUAAGGGCGAAAGAGUGAUCAAUUUUGAUGACAUUAGCGAUGAGCUGUAGCAGUGUUCCCAACUUGAACAUCAUCUUCUGUGUACAUAUCUGAGGCAGAGCCAGCUUGCCCAUCUGACCUCUGUUGUGGACAACCGAGUAAGAGCCAGCUUGCAUGUCAUCUGUUGUGGACAUCCGUGUUAGAGCCAGCUUGCACGUCCUCUAUUGUGGACAUCAGUGUUAGUGCUAGCUUGCAUGUCAUCUGUUGUGAACAUCCGUGUAAGAGCCAGCUUGCACGUCAUCUCUUUUGGACAUCAGUGUUAGAGCCAGCUUACACAUCCUCUGUUGUGGACAUCCGUGUAAGUGCUAGCUUGCACAUAAUCUGUUGUGGACAUCUGUGUUAGAGCCAGCUUGCACGUCAUAUGUUUAGGACAUCAGUCAGAGAUAGCUUGCAUGUUAUAUACUUGUGGACAUUAGUCAGAGCCAGCAAGGACAAUCUCUGUUGUGGAUAUCUGUCUUAGAGCUUGCACGUCAUCGGUUGUUCACAUCCUUGUAAUAACCAGCUUGCACAUCAACUGAUGUGGAAAUCUGAGUCAGAGCCAGCUUGCACAUCAUCCGUUGUGGACAUCUCUUUAUGAUUCUACUCUUUGCUUAGAUUGACACUGUGACUUUAGUGUAAUAUGUUACAACCUUAAGCUAUUCCUAUUGUUGAAUAAAAAUAUUGUGUCAUUAAAAUAUAUUUUGUUGGAUAAUUUGUAUGUUGAGUUGUAUUGUUUGGUCAUUGCAAAGUAUCAAGUUAUUUUAAGACAAGACAAGGGACAAAAUUGUCACAAAACCAGGUUUUCAUUGUGAAAAAAAAAUCUGAUAAAGGGAGAAAACUAAAACUGAACUUUUGAAAUGAACAAACAAAAUUAACCCCUUUGUAAGUUUGUUUAAAAUUUUUUUAUAUUUUUAGUCGUGGCGACCUUGACAUUGGAGAUAUUGACGUGAUUCUUUCGUGCGACACACCGUCCCAUGAUGGUGAACAAAUGUGCCAAAUGAUUUUAAAAUCUCACAAUGAAUGACAUAGUUAUGGCCAGGACAAGCUCAUUUAUGGCCAUUUUUGACCUUUGAACUCAAAGUGUGACCUUGACCUUGGAGAUAUCGACGUAAUUAUUUCGCGCGACACACCGUCCAAUGAUGGUGAACAAAUGUGCCAAAUGAUUUUAAAAUCUGACAAUGAACGACAUAGUUAUGGAUCGGACAAGCUUGUUCCGCCAGCCCGCCAGCCAGCCAGCCAGCCCGCCCGCAUUCGCCAAUCUAAUAACCAGUUUUUUCCUUCGGAAAACCUGGUUAAAAAAGCUCAUCUUUCAUCAUGUAUUUAUAUUAAAAUUCUUGAAUGUUAGUGAAGGUACAGUUCAUAUAAUUAAAAGCAAUUUUAAUAUGAUUGCUUGUGUUUUAUUGCAAAGUGAAUACCAUCUUGUCUUUAUGCUGACAUAUAGAACGGAAAAAUAGUAAACUGUCGUUUUUAUAUGCAAUGGGAUUGUAUAUGAAGACUUGCAUGUUCAGAUGAAAAAAUUGCCAUAAUUUUUCUCUUUAUAUUUUAUUCCUGCUAAAUGGUUGAUGCAAUAAAGUUAAGUCUUUAA
Long non-coding RNA from Dreissena polymorpha, 2175 nucleotides. RefSeq lists it as uncharacterized. NCBI's taxonomy places the organism in Eukaryota, Metazoa, Mollusca, Bivalvia, Myida, Dreissenidae. The transcript has 2 exons. The record is from RefSeq and is a predicted model, not a curated record.